This is a long non-coding RNA of Corapipo altera (White-ruffed manakin), 1537 nucleotides long. RefSeq lists it as uncharacterized. The record is from RefSeq and is a predicted model, not a curated record. The transcript is spliced from 6 exons. Lineage: Eukaryota; Metazoa; Chordata; Aves; Passeriformes; Pipridae.
GCCGCCCGCCGCCAUCGCCGGGGCCCAGGGGGUGGGAGGAAGAGGAGGAGCCGUGAGGGGAGGAGGAGAAGGAAGAAGAGGAAGAGAAGGAAGAAGAAGAAGAGGAGGAGGAAGGCUCCGAGCUGGGCGUUGCUCUGGCAACGUCGGGGCCUUCGCCCCGCCAUGGCCCGUGAGGGGAGGGGGGGGACUCCCCUCAGGCGCAGCCCCGCCAAAAUGUAUGGGGCGGGAGGUUCCUGCCGAAUUUUAUCGAAAGCUUCAGUUAAAAUUAACCUGCGAAGGCUGUAAUAAGGAAGGAAAUUAAGGGAUGUGUGUAUCUAUAUAAAUAUACGUGUGCUGCGGUGGCUCGUUGGCGGCGAUUAGGGAAGUCCUGCUGUCUGGAAAUUGGCUUUGCCUCCCAGGAAACCUGAGGGGAGCGCUGCCCUAGUUAAUGCUGCGGGAGCUCUCUGGAGAGGCUCGAAAUGAAAUGGAUACAGGGGGUUAUUUUUCGUUCGAAAUAUGCUCUUGAAUAAAUUAGUUUUGCGUCCAGAAAUGGCAUCUGUUUUCCUUGGCUCGGGUGUUUUUCUUAGGAGUGUUUAGGUAUGCAGCUCACACGGGAAGCGGGGCUAAUAUCUGAGCAGCUUUGGAUAUCGGUGCUGUGCUGUGUUAGAACAGAAAUGCUGCUUUAAUUCAAAAGUUUAAAUACAGAAAUGCUGUGGGGUCAGUAACCCCGGAAGGGGGAAAGGACGGGCACUUAAAACAUAGAACUCAUGAGGUGAGAAACUAAGUGUUUUAUAAGAGUUAAGUGGCCUGAUGUUCAGUGACACCAUCUGACAACGAACCUUCUCUUUUAUUUUCAAGGAAGUAGCUGAAAACACUGGAUGAACCUCUGUUUCUCCUGGAGGCCUUGUAUCCUCUGCGUUCCACUCGGGCUGUGGCUGAUGGCCUGGAAGAAACCUGGGCCGGUUAUUACAGAUACACUUAAUAUUAAACAAACAAUUAAACAAAAGUGGGCCCCCUGAACUCAGAAGACCUUCUAAUUUGUGUCACUUGCUGAUUUAUCUCCAGUUCACAGCUCGUUAGAAGAUAAAGCCUUGAAUGAGAACGAGCCAGCGGAGCCACAAAGGGCAGCUGCAGUUUUUGCUCCCUGCACAGGAGGGUGCUCAGCUCCUGUCUUUAUCUGCAGCAAGGAGCCGUUCCCGUGGUCAUUAGAUCGAAGUGGAGAAGCCGUUUUCUGAUCUGGUCUUUUCUUGCAGUGACGUUGAAGGAUCUGUUUAAAUACAGCGGCUCGGAAAAUAUUCAGCUGUUACAGAAUUUUCGGAGGGGUUUAGGUGUAUUAGAACUUGGUACAUGACAGUGUGAAGGGUUUGACUUCCAACCUACUCGAGGCUUUGUCUGCAGGAUCUGGAAAAUCCCAGCUUUGCUUCCUAUGGAGUCGGCAGGGAAGGAUAAAUCAGGAAGAGUGAGGAAUUCUUACUGGUGCUGUUGUCUCUCCUGACAGGAGAGCAGAGCCACAGAGGAGGAAACAGCAUCAACAUUCUCCACAAAGCAGAGAAAAUAG